Molecule: ribosomal RNA, 506 nt
Filed under: uncultured bacterium
Lineage: Bacteria
Description: partial 16S ribosomal RNA
Rfam family: Bacterial small subunit ribosomal RNA
Source: RNAcentral
AUUGAACGCUGGCGGCAGGCCUAACACAUGCAAGUCGAACGGUAACAGGAAACAGCUUGCUGUUUCGCUGACGAGUGGCGGACGGGUGAAUAAUGUCUGGGAAACUGCCUGAUGGAGGGGGAUAACCACUGGAAACGGUAGCUAAUACCGCAUAACGUCGCAAGACCAAAGAGGGGGACCUUCGGGCCUCUUGCCAUCGGAUGUGCCCAGAUGGGAUUAGCUAGUAGGUGGGGUAACGGCUCACCUAGGCGACGAUCCCUAGCUGGACUGAGGGGAUGACCAGCCACACUGGACCUGAGACACGGUCCAGACUCCUACGGGAGGCAGCAGUGGGGAAUAUUGCACAAUGGGCGCAAGCCUGAUGCAGCCAUGUCGCGUGUAUGAAGAAGGCCUUCGGGUUGUAAAGUACUUUCAGCGGGGAGGAAGGGAGUAAAGUUAAUACCUUUGCUCAUUGACGUUACCCGCAGAAGAAGCACCGGCUAACUCCGUGCCAGCAGCCGCCGUAA